This is a long non-coding RNA of Vitis riparia (riverbank grape), 589 nucleotides long. RefSeq lists it as uncharacterized. The transcript has 2 exons. NCBI's taxonomy places the organism in Eukaryota, Viridiplantae, Streptophyta, Magnoliopsida, Vitales, Vitaceae. The record is from RefSeq and is a predicted model, not a curated record.
AUGCUCUGUUUGGUUGUCCAGAAGGAAUGGGAGGAAAAAAAAAGGAUUUUUGGAAUAGUUUCUGCAACCACAACCUGUUUUAAGGUGGGUCAUCAUAUCACACUUUUGGGGCUGAUGGGAAAGGAAUCAUUCUCAUGAAGUUUGCCUAUUGUUGAAUCCAGAUGGAUUGGUGAAGCCAAAGUUGAUGGCUUUGAGGCACUUAAGAAUAUUUUAUCUUAUAAGUUUAUCUAUGUAUGAAUUCACAUGACUGUUAGAGUACUUAGGAUUGGCAUUCAUAGCGUCCUUUCAUUGGAAAACAUACCAUGUAGACCCUUUCUUACUAGGAAGGACACUGAGUCCUGCCAUAAUUGGGACAUGGAGUGUACUUGAGAACUGAGAUUCGCAACUGCUGUUGGCUUCUCCCUUAUAGAUGGUUAGUUAUGUGCAUGGAGGUUAUCUUAGCAUAAUAGUGAAUUAGGAAGUUAUAUUAGCGUGGCACUACAUCUUCCUCCAUGCCCAGGAUGUUCUGACCAUUUUCUAAGUCGGAAUUCACAAAUAGUGUGUGCCAUUGACUGUUAUUUUUUAAUUUAUUUAUCUAUAUCUUUGUGCU